Molecule: ribozyme, 76 nt
Filed under: Crocodylus porosus (Australian saltwater crocodile)
Lineage: Eukaryota; Metazoa; Chordata; Crocodylia; Crocodylidae
Description: Mammalian CPEB3 ribozyme (ENSCPRG00005005592.1)
Rfam family: Mammalian CPEB3 ribozyme
About the family: The mammalian CPEB3 ribozyme is a self cleaving RNA located in the second intron of the CPEB3 gene which belongs to a family of genes regulating messenger RNA polyadenylation.
Source: Rfam by way of RNAcentral
AGUUGCAAAUUUGAAGCCAAAGCAGAAAUAUUUAUGGUGCAGCCUGUCAGAUUCCAACGAAUCUGCAAAUUCUGCU